AUGGGAUGGGGAAGCAGGAAACAGCAACACGGGACGCCGUCACGCGCAUCGGAGCAAGGAGGCGAGCGCAAGGGCGGUGGCAAGAGCAAGGCCUUCUCCUUCUCCUUCUCGCCGCUCUCGUGGCUCGCUAAGAUAGCCGCCAAGCCCAAGCGCACGCCCGCGUCCACGCACGAGGGCCGCGGACCCGGUGCGAGUGCCGCUGCCGCCGCCCCGCCGUUCAAGUCGGCCCUUCCCGAGCGCGCCAGCCCGGCUAAGGUGGCGAUCGCGCCGGCGGGCCGGCUCAGCUCGCCCUCGCCGCGUCGCUCGCCUGCUGUUCUGCGGCGGCUGUUUGUUGGCAACGACAACGCGGAGGCCGUGGCCGCGCGCGGGCGCCAUCGCCCUGCCGCCGCCGUCGUCGCCACCGAAGAAGUCGUACCAAGGCGGCUCUCUGUUGGCAACGACAGCGCCGACGCCGUCGCCCCGCGCCGGCACUGCAGACCCCGGCGCCACUGCUCCGUCGGCGGUGACCGUGACCUCCAGGCGCCGCUCGGCAAACACAUCCCCUUCUCCCUCGCCGGCUCCCCAGCGCAGCCACGGCCUCCUCCACAGGCGGCAGCAGCUGCGGCACCGUCGGACACGGACGGCGGCGGCGCUCGGCUAAGGCGUCGGCACCGUGGCCGCCGGCACCGCCGCAGCGUCAGCGGCGGCCGGAGAUCGUCGUUCUCCGGAAAGGUGACGCUGCGGGUGAAGGUGCGGUCGCCGCGGCGGUCAGCGCCGGAGCUGGAGAGCCUCGCCGUGGUGCGGCGGACGCGGGACCCGCAGAGGGCGUUCCGGGAGUCGAUGUCCGAGAUGAUCGCGAGCAGCGGAGGGACCGACGCCCGGCCGGAGGAGCUGGAGCGGCUGCUGGCGUGCUACCUCGCCCUCAACGCCGACGAGCACCACGACUGCAUCGUCAAGGUCUUCUGCCAGGUCUGGUUCGAUCACGUCAACCUGCCGCCGCCUCGACGGGGCAGGGACCGGGAGGAACACCCCGGACGGCACGCGAGGCCGUAA
This 1032-nucleotide ribosomal RNA is filed under the name Triticum aestivum (bread wheat). RNAcentral describes it as "partial small subunit ribosomal RNA". The record is from RNAcentral. Lineage: Eukaryota; Viridiplantae; Streptophyta; Magnoliopsida; Poales; Poaceae.